UACGAAGGGGGCUAGCGUUGCUCGGAAUCACUGGGCGUAAAGGGUGCGUAGGCGGGUCUUUAAGUCAGGGGUGAAAUCCUGGAGCUCAACUCCAGAACUGCCUUUGAUACUGAAGAUCUUGAGUUCGGGAGAGGUGAGUGGAACUGCGAGUGUAGAGGUGAAAUUCGUAGAUAUUCGGAAGAACACCAGUGGCGAAGGCGGCUCACUGGUCCGGUACUGACGCUGAGGUGCGAAAGCGUGGGGAGCGAACAGG
RNAcentral lists this ribosomal RNA (253 nucleotides) under uncultured bacterium. Its description in RNAcentral is "partial 16S ribosomal RNA". It matches the Rfam family "Bacterial small subunit ribosomal RNA", at positions 524 to 776 of the family's 1533-position model. The record is from RNAcentral.